Molecule: long non-coding RNA, 588 nt
Organism: Papilio machaon (common yellow swallowtail)
Lineage: Eukaryota; Metazoa; Arthropoda; Insecta; Lepidoptera; Papilionidae
Exons: 3
Source: RefSeq, a predicted model, not a curated record
AACACGCCCCGGAUUGCUCAGAACCCUAACAUGAAACAUAUAAAAGAAGUAUGAUUAAACAAUAAAAAAUGCCUAAAUCCAAAUCCAGAGAAGUUAAAAUAGUCCACUCAGAUAAACGUAUAGCAAAACUAGAUGAUGAAUCAUUAAGAAAGUUGACAGACUCAGAUGGGCCCUGUAACGAAUGUAUUUGCAAUCUAAUAGACCCUCCGAAACGUCCAUUUGAUUUAAGAAAUGCUAUUCGAAGCGCAUUCGACUCACUUCAAAUGUACACAGAUUCAACUGCAAAGUCCCUAGGGAUUACAUCAUCCUCCAAUCUAGCAGGGCCCAGUGCUAAGGACAAAGAAAAAGAAAAAGCGAAGGGCGGGAAAAAGAAAUAAUUUGUGUUACAAUGACAUUAGAACAAUUAAAAAAAUUGGAAACUAAAUCAUUGAAGGGCCUCAAGGAGAACGUGUCAGGGCCCUGCGACGAAUGCAUAUGUGCAAUAUUAGCCACACCCGCAGACGCGUUAACACGCGGGAAUUGUUUCAGAAGAUUUUUUUCAUGCUUUAUAAAAACUAAGACAGCUAAAAAUAUGAAAUCCAUAAAUAG